This 2522-nucleotide ribosomal RNA is filed under the name Drosophila melanogaster (fruit fly). RNAcentral's name for it is "eukaryotic LSU rRNA". The stretch from base 573 to 2522 matches the Rfam family "Eukaryotic large subunit ribosomal RNA", at positions 1 to 1657 of the family's 3401-position model. Lineage: Eukaryota; Metazoa; Arthropoda; Insecta; Diptera; Drosophilidae. The record is from RNAcentral.
ACUCUAAGCGGUGGAUCACUCGGCUCAUGGGUCGAUGAAGAACGCAGCAAACUGUGCGUCAUCGUGUGAACUGCAGGACACAUGAACAUCGACAUUUUGAACGCAUAUCGCAGUCCAUGCUGUUAUGUACUUUAAUUAAUUUUAUAGUGCUGCUUGGACUACAUAUGGUUGAGGGUUGUAAGACUAUGCUAAUUAAGUUGCUUAUAAAUUUUUAUAAGCAUAUGGUAUAUUAUUGGAUAAAUAUAAUAAUUUUUAUUCAUAAUAUUAAAAAAUAAAUGAAAAACAUUAUCUCACAUUUGAAUGUGAAAAACGAAGAGAAAUAUUUUCUUUUUCAAUCAAAUAAUACUGAGAAAUGUCUAGCAUAAAAAAUUGAAAUAUUUUUCAUCUAGAAUUGUCUCUUAUUAAUGAUUCGGAAAUAGAAAAAUCUUGGUUAUGUUAUUAUUCUUCGUUGGUUCGUUAAAAAUGGAUAAAUAAAAACUUUGCAUACAAGAAUUAAUAAAAAUGUUAUAACGAAUUUAAUUAAAUGUUUUAUCAUUAUAUAUAAAGAAUUUAUGGCAAGAUAAAGUUAUAUACAACCUCAACUCAUAUGGGACUACCCCUGAAUUUAAGCAUAUUAAUUAGGGGAGGAAAAGAAACUAACAAGGAUUUUCUUAGUAGCGGCGAGCGAAAAGAAAACAGUUCAGCACUAAGUCACUUUGUCUAUAUGGCAAAUGUGAGAUGCAGUGUAUGGAGCGUCAAUAUUCUAGUAUGAGAAAUUAACGAUUUAAGUCCUUCUUAAAUGAGGCCAUUUACCCAUAGAGGGUGCCAGGCCCGUAUAACGUUAAUGAUUACUAGAUGAUGUUUCCAAAGAGUCGUGUUGCUUGAUAGUGCAGCACUAAGUGGGUGGUAAACUCCAUCUAAAACUAAAUAUAACCAUGAGACCGAUAGUAAACAAGUACCGUGAGGGAAAGUUGAAAAGAACUCUGAAUAGAGAGUUAAACAGUACGUGAAACUGCUUAGAGGUUAAGCCCGAUGAACCUGAAUAUCCGUUAUGGAAAAUUCAUCAUUAAAAUUGUAAUAUUUAAAUAAUAUUAUGAGAAUAGUGUGCAUUUUUUCCAUAUAAGGACAUUGUAAUCUAUUAGCAUAUACCAAAUUUAUCAUAAAAUAUAACUUAUAGUUUAUUCCAAUUAAAUUGCUUGCAUUUUAACACAGAAUAAAUGUUAUUAAUUUGAUAAAGUGCUGAUAGAUUUAUAUGAUUACAGUGCGUUAAUUUUUCGGAAUUAUAUAAUGGCAUAAUUAUCAUUGAUUUUUGUGUUUAUUAUAUGCACUUGUAUGAUUAACAAUGCGAAAGAUUCAGGAUACCUUCGGACCGUCUUGAAACACGGACCAAGGAGUCUAACAUAUGUGCAAGUUAUUGGGAUAUAAACCUAAUAGCGUAAUUAACUUGACUAAUAAUGGGAUUAGUUUUUUAGCUAUUUAUAGCUAAUUAACACAAUCCCGGGGCGUUCUAUAUAGUUAUGUAUAAUGUAUAUUUAUAUUAUUUAUGCCUCUAACUGGAACGUACCUUGAGCAUAUAUGCUGUGACCCGAAAGAUGGUGAACUAUACUUGAUCAGGUUGAAGUCAGGGGAAACCCUGAUGGAAGACCGAAACAGUUCUGACGUGCAAAUCGAUUGUCAGAAUUGAGUAUAGGGGCGAAAGACCAAUCGAACCAUCUAGUAGCUGGUUCCUUCCGAAGUUUCCCUCAGGAUAGCUGGUGCAUUUUAAUAUUAUAUAAAAUAAUCUUAUCUGGUAAAGCGAAUGAUUAGAGGCCUUAGGGUCGAAACGAUCUUAACCUAUUCUCAAACUUUAAAUGGGUAAGAACCUUAACUUUCUUGAUAUGAAGUUCAAGGUUAUGAUAUAAUGUGCCCAGUGGGCCACUUUUGGUAAGCAGAACUGGCGCUGUGGGAUGAACCAAACGUAAUGUUACGGUGCCCAAAUUAACAACUCAUGCAGAUACCAUGAAAGGCGUUGGUUGCUUAAAACAGCAGGACGGUGAUCAUGGAAGUCGAAAUCCGCUAAGGAGUGUGUAACAACUCACCUGCCGAAGCAACUAGCCCUUAAAAUGGAUGGCGCUUAAGUUGUAUACCUAUACAUUACCGCUAAAGUAGAUGAUUUAUAUUACUUGUGAUAUAAAUUUUGAAACUUUAGUGAGUAGGAAGGUACAAUGGUAUGCGUAGAAGUGUUUGGCGUAAGCCUGCAUGGAGCUGCCAUUGGUACAGAUCUUGGUGGUAGUAGCAAAUAAUCGAAUGAGACCUUGGAGGACUGAAGUGGAGAAGGGUUUCGUGUGAACAGUGGUUGAUCACGAGUUAGUCGGUCCUAAGUUCAAGGCGAAAGCCGAAAAUUUUCAAGUAAAACAAAAAUGCCUAACUAUAUAAACAAAGCGAAUUAUAAUACACUUGAAUAAUUUUGAACGAAAGGGAAUACGGUUCCAAUUCCGUAACCUGUUGAGUAUCCGUUUGUUAUUAAAUAUGGGCCUCGUGCUCAUCCUGGCAACAGGAACGAC